This 615-nucleotide long non-coding RNA is filed under the name Parus major (Great Tit). RNAcentral describes it as "lncRNA (ENSPMJG00000004173.1)". Lineage: Eukaryota; Metazoa; Chordata; Aves; Passeriformes; Paridae. The record is from RNAcentral.
CCUUCCCUUCCCUUCCCGCACCUUCCCUUCCCGCACCUUCCCUUCCCGCACCUUCCCUUCCCGCACCUUCCCCCUCCCCAUCAUUUUCUUUUUCCUUCUCCCUUCUCCUCUCUUUCCCCCUUCCUUUUCUUUUUCCCCUCAAAGCUUCAGCUUUGGUUCAGGAUUGCAGAUCUGGCCCUGCAUGAAAUAAUUUUCCUAUCUAAACCAGUUGUCAGGGCUCCUUCUAAAUAUGAGAGAAAGACAAUGAGAGACAGAGAAAACAAAUUGUCUCUGACUGUGAGAAGUGGGGUGACCUAUUCCUGGAAGCACAACCACCUUUCCAUGAGUGGUGAUCUCAGUGGCUAGAAGAAAUGAUCCGGUCGAGGUCGUUCACAGGAAGCUUAACUAAGACCAUAAUAACAACGGUCGUUGGCUAUGGGGUUGAGAAACUCAUAGAAAUUAUGUUCGAAGAAUCAAGAAGGAGAAGGGAGAGGAAGACCACAAAAGUCCUGGUAUGUAAGAUAAAUGAAGACUUCCGGGAGCUCACAAAAAAAAUUAAAGCUGUACAAGAACAUUUCAAAGAAUUGCAGGAGUCCAGACAGAAGGAGCAUCAGCUCCUCAGAGCAGAGCUGGAGA